CUACGGCGGCUGCAGUGGGGAAUAUUGGACAAUGGGCGAAAGCCUGAUCCAGCCAUGCCGCGUGUGUGAAGAAGGCCUUCGGGUUGUAAAGCACUUUCAGUGGGGAAGAAAGCCUUGGGGCUAAUACCCUCGAGGAAGGACAUCACCCACAGAAGAAGCACCGGCUAACUCCGUGCCAGCAGCCGCGGUAAUACGGAGGGUGCGAGCGUUAAUCGGAAUUACUGGGCGUAAAGCGCGCGUAGGCGGUCUGAUAAGCCGGUUGUGAAAGCCCCGGGCUCAACCUGGGAACGGCAUCCGGAACUGUCAGGCUAGAGUGCAGGAGAGGAAGGUAGAAUUCCCGGUGUAGCGGUGAAAUGCGUAGAGAUCGGGAGGAAUACCAGUGGCGAAGGCGGCCUUCUGGACUGACACUGACGCUGAGGUGCGAAAGCGUGGGUAGCAAACAGGAUUAGAUACCCUUGUAGUC
Molecule: ribosomal RNA, 463 nt
Filed under: Vreelandella stevensii
Lineage: Bacteria; Pseudomonadati; Pseudomonadota; Gammaproteobacteria; Oceanospirillales; Halomonadaceae
Description: partial 16S ribosomal RNA
Rfam family: Bacterial small subunit ribosomal RNA
Source: RNAcentral